GGUACCGAUUGGACCCCGUUUUAUUAAUAUAAAGCUAUUAAAUACGUAUUUUCAUGUCAUAUACGAUCCAAAGGGGUACCAAUUAUUUGUAAAUAUAAAUAGACCUUUCUAGAGCUUAUUUUCACCGUAGAAAUCAUUUCACCAGUUUCUCUGCACGAAUACCGAGAGAAACCGAGCGGUGUUCUUCGUGUUCUUCAUAAUCAAACGAAGAUUUGAAGGUGUUAUUGGAAUCCGAUGGAGGCGUAUGAAUAGUCAAAACGAAGCUAUCGACGCGUAGAAUCCAGUUUAAUCAAUCAUAACCGUGCAGAUUUCACGGGAUUUGGACGAGACGUGUACGCUCGAAGACGUCAGAAAGUCGGAAUGGUAUUGCAAAGCGAAUAAGGGAUGAAUCGAGUAAGCGAAGCGAUGUGGCGAAUAGAGUAUAGCUAGAGAUGGUCUAGAGAUUAUGAGAUGCAUAGAUUGUGAAAGUGGAAAGAUGAGAAUGAGCUGUGAGACGGGAGUCAGAUUUAAGAAAGGAUUAAAGAUGAAUGGCUAGACUAUGAUUGCGAGUAAGGCUAAUGCUAGGCGAGGAGACAGAGUUGAGGAUCCAGUGGUCGAGGAGUGUUCAGGAAAGUUGAUGAGGUUGGUGCAAGCUGGAAUAGUUGACAGUGAUUCUUCUUAUCGAAGAUGAUCUGAUUUGGUAAGAGAUGUUGUGUAAUAAUAGUGGUAGAUUCUAAUUUCAAUACUGUAACCUGGAUGCGAUCCUGUUGCUUUUAGGGGGUUUAAAUGUUGUCUUGAAAUUCUCCUAU
Molecule: long non-coding RNA, 788 nt
Organism: Daucus carota subsp. sativus
Lineage: Eukaryota; Viridiplantae; Streptophyta; Magnoliopsida; Apiales; Apiaceae
Exons: 3
Source: RefSeq, a predicted model, not a curated record